Molecule: ribosomal RNA, 445 nt
Filed under: uncultured bacterium
Lineage: Bacteria
Description: partial 16S ribosomal RNA
Rfam family: Bacterial small subunit ribosomal RNA
Source: RNAcentral
GUGAGGAAUAUUGCGCAAUGGAGGCAACUCUGACGCAGCCAUGCCGCGUGCAGGAAGAAGGCGCUACGCGUUGUAAACUGCUUUUAACCGGGAAGAAACCCCAGGACGUGUCCUGGGUUGACGGUACCGGAGGAAUAAGCACCGGCUAACUUCGUGCCAGCAGCCGCGGUAAUACGAAGGGUGCAAGCGUUAUCCGGAUUCAUUGGGUUUAAAGGGUGCGUAGGCGGAGCGUUAAGUCAGUGGUGAAAUCCUGCAGCGUAACUGUAGACUUGCCAUUGAUACUGGCGCUCUUGAGUGCGCUUGAAGUGGGCGGAAUGUGCCGUGUAGCGGUGAAAUGCUUAGAUAUGGCACAGAACACCAAUUGCGAAGGCAGCUCACUAAGGCGAUACUGACGCUGAGGUACGAAAGCGUGGGGAUCGAACAGGAUUAGAUACCCGUGUAGUCC